Molecule: ribosomal RNA, 1554 nt
Filed under: Triticum aestivum (bread wheat)
Lineage: Eukaryota; Viridiplantae; Streptophyta; Magnoliopsida; Poales; Poaceae
Description: partial small subunit ribosomal RNA
Source: RNAcentral
AUGUCAGGAGGAUCGGAUGUAUCUUCACCAUUAUCGGGACGAAUUAGCACGAGUUCUUUGUCAGACUUGAAGGACUUGGAGUUUUCUUCAGAGUCUGGCUGCUUGUCCAUUGUUGUACUAGGUGCUUCUGGAGACCUUGCUAAAAAGAAAACUUUUCCAGCACUCUUCAACCUUUUUCAACAGGGAUUUAUACAAUCUGGAGAAGUCCAUAUAUUUGGGUAUGCAAGAUCAGAUAUGUCCGAUGAAGGGUUAAGAGAACGCAUUCGUGGAUAUCUCAAAGGAGCUUCAGAUGAACAUCUUUCACAAUUUUUGCAAUUAAUUAAGUAUGUUAGUGGUUCAUAUGAUAAUGGGGCAGGAUUUGAAUUGCUAAACAAGACAAUAUCUGAGAAUGAGACAUCAGAGAACAACCAACCAGGAAACUCCCGUAGACUAUUUUAUUUGGCAUUACCUCCUUCAGUGUACCCCUCAGUAUGCAAAAUGAUAAGAUCAUGUUGCAUGACUCCAUCCUCUCAUACUGGUUGGACAAGGGUUAUUGUUGAAAAGCCCUUCGGAAAGGAUUUAGACUCUGCUGAGGAAUUGAGUGCCCAACUUGGAGAGCUUUUCGAUGAAGAACAACUAUAUAGAAUUGACCACUAUUUAGGAAAGGAGUUGGUCCAAAACUUGCUCGUGCUUCGCUUUGCAAAUCGCUUUUUUCUGCCCCUCUGGAAUCGUGAUAACAUUGAUAACGUACAGAUUGUAUUCCGGGAGGACUUCGGAACUGAUGGACGUGGAGGAUAUUUUGAUCAAUAUGGUAUCAUUCGGGAUAUCAUUCAGAACCAUUUGCUGCAGGUCUUUUGUUUGGUAGCCAUGGAAAAGCCUGUCUCUCUUAGUCCUGAGCACAUAAGAGAUGAGAAAGUCAAGGUUCUGCAAUCAGUGAGCUGUAUAAACCAUGACGAGGUAGUCCUUGGGCAAUAUGAUGGCUACAAGGAUGAUCCGACAGUGCCAAAUGAAUCCAACACGCCUACUUUUGCGUCCGUUGUACUGAGGGUACACAAUGAGAGAUGGGAUGGAGUUCCUUUCGUCCUUAAGGCUGGUAAAGCACUAAGCUCUAAGAAAGCAGAGAUACGUGUGCAGUUCAAGGAUGCUCCGGGCGAUAUUUUUAGAUGCAAGAAACAAGGAAGAAAUGAAUUUGUCAUACGCCUGCAGCCAUCGGAAGCCAUGUAUAUGAAAUUAACUGUAAAGAAACCAGGGCUCGAAAUGGCAACAGAACAGAGCGAACUGGAUUUAUCCUAUGGGCUACGGUACCAAGAUGUAAAAAUCCCAGAAGCGUACGAGCGUCUUAUCUUGGACACGAUAAGAGGUGACCAGCAGCACUUUGUUCGCCGAGAUGAGCUCAAGGCUGCCUGGGAGAUCUUCACUCCUUUGUUGCACGACAUCGAUGCUGGCAGGCUCAAGGCUCUGCCAUACCAACCGGGAACCCGGGGUCCUCCAGAGGCCGAUGAGUUGAGCAAGAGGAUGGGGUACGUGCCGACUCUUGGCUAUGUUUGGGCACCGCCAACCCUUGCAAAGUUUUAG